RNAcentral lists this long non-coding RNA (199 nucleotides) under Elaeis guineensis (African oil palm). RNAcentral describes it as "long non-coding RNA (EGUI_LNC047201)". The record is from RNAcentral. Lineage: Eukaryota; Viridiplantae; Streptophyta; Magnoliopsida; Arecales; Arecaceae.
CGAACUUGAGCUUACUAUCAAACUUCUGAAAGUAAGUCUAGAUCGGCUCUCCAACAUUUUGAAUUGCUCAACUCAUUAUAUUAUUCCACUCUCACUGAUGGUAAUCCGAUCUUAAGGAGAAUCAUCGCCUCCAAUCCAUAAGCUAAGUUGAAUGGAGAUUCUUCUGUCGGUAUAUUAGGAGUUGUACGAUAUGCCUGUA